ACGGGUGAGUAAUGCCUAGGAAUCUGCCUGGUAGUGGGGGACAACGUUUCGAAAGGAACGCUAAUACCGCAUACGUCCUACGGGAGAAAGCAGGGGACCUUCGGGCCUUGCGCUAUCAGAUGAGCCUAGGUCGGAUUAGCUAGUUGGUGAGGUAAUGGCUCACCAAGGCGACGAUCCGUAACUGGUCUGAGAGGAUGAUCAGUCACACUGGAACUGAGACACGGUCCAGACUCCUACGGGAGGCAGCAGUGGGGAAUAUUGGACAAUGGGCGAAAGCCUGAUCCAGCCAUGCUGCGUGUGUGAAGAAGGUCUUCGGAUUGUAAAGCACUUUAAGUUGGGAGGAAGGGUUGUAGAUUAAUACUCUGCAAUUUUGACGUUACCGACAGAAUAAGCACCGGCUAACUCUGUGCCAGCAGCCGCGGUAAUACAGAGGGUGCAAGCGUUAAUCGGAAUUACUGGGCGUAAAGCGCGCGUAGGUGGUUCGUUAAGUUGGAUGUGAAAUCCCCGGGCUCAACCUGGGAACUGCAUUCAAAACUGUCGAGCUAGAGUAUGGUAGAGGGUGGUGGAAUUUCCUGUGUAGCGGUGA
RNAcentral lists this ribosomal RNA (586 nucleotides) under uncultured Pseudomonas sp. RNAcentral describes it as "bacterial SSU rRNA". It matches the Rfam family "Bacterial small subunit ribosomal RNA", at positions 102 to 684 of the family's 1533-position model. The record is from RNAcentral. Lineage: Bacteria; Pseudomonadati; Pseudomonadota; Gammaproteobacteria; Pseudomonadales; Pseudomonadaceae.